CUAACAAGGAUUCCCCUAGUAACUGCGAGUGAAGCGGGAAGAGCUCAAAUUUGUAAUCUGGCGGUCUCAGGCCGUCCGAGUUGUAGUCUGGAGAAGCGUUUUCCGUGCCGGACCGUGUACAAGUCCCUUGGAACAGGGCGUCGUAGAGGGUGAGAAUCCCGUCUCUGACACGGACCGCCGGUGCUCUGUGAUGCGCUCUCGAAGAGUCGAGUUGUUUGGGAAUGCAGCUCAAAAUGGGUGGUAAAUUCCAUCUAAAGCUAAAUAUUGGCGAAAGACCGAUAGCGAACAAGUACCGUGAGGGAAAGAUGAAAAGCACUUUGGAAAGAGAGUUAAACAGUACGUGAAAUUGUUGAAAGGGAAACGCUUGAAGUCAGUCGCGUCUUCCGAGACUCAGCCGGGUUUCCGCUCGGUGCACUUCUCGGUGUGACGGGCCAGCAUCGAUUUCGACCGUCGGAGAAAGGCCGAGGGAAUGUGGCACCUCCGGGUGUGUUAUAGCCCUCGGUCGUAUGCGACGGUGGGGAUCGAGGACCGCAGCACGCCGCAAGGCCGGGGUUCGCCCACGUAACGUGCUUAGGAUGCUGGCGUAAUGGCUUUAA
RNAcentral lists this ribosomal RNA (596 nucleotides) under Castoreum sp. OSC122814. RNAcentral's name for it is "eukaryotic LSU rRNA". It matches the Rfam family "Eukaryotic large subunit ribosomal RNA", at positions 65 to 643 of the family's 3401-position model. The record is from RNAcentral. Lineage: Eukaryota; Fungi; Basidiomycota; Agaricomycetes; Hysterangiales; Mesophelliaceae.